This 1503-nucleotide long non-coding RNA is filed under the name Homo sapiens (human). Its description in RNAcentral is "non-protein coding lnc-POU3F1-3:1". The record is from RNAcentral. Lineage: Eukaryota; Metazoa; Chordata; Mammalia; Primates; Hominidae.
GGCGCGGGCGCGCAGCCCGCCCGCGCGGCCUGGACUCUUUUUGUUCGGUUGCUUUGGAUUUUACAAAAAAAAAAAAAAGCCCAGAAACUUUCGAACAAAACCAAACACCCGGACGACCCUCUCCGGUGAGCGGCGAAGACAGCCCGGUAGGCUGCGUCGCCCGAGCCCCGGGAGAGAGGAGCGAAGAUCCGGAACUCGCCAACUCACCCCGGGCAUCCUGCCCGCCGCCUGCUCUCUGCCCCCAUCCCCUCGACGACCCCCGCCCCUGCCCCCCCGGGCUGUUCGGGGCCGGAUCCCGGCAGCGGCCUCCCCAAAGCGACAGGUAACGCAGUGCGGGGUUAGGGAUUCCCCGGGAGAGAGGACGAAGCGAGGAGAGUUCUCCAUCCCCUCUCCCCGCGUGGACUCCUGAGCCUGCGGGUCCAGGGUGGGGGGCUGUCACUUUAUUCGCUACACGCCUCUUCUCUCCUAUAAGGAUGCGCCCCACCCCGCUUUCCCCUUUCUCCGGGCUUGGUUUUUUACGGUUUUUAUUUAUUCGUGGAGCCUCUCGGCUCCUGGGGUCCUUCUAACUCCGCCCGCGCCCUUAAUUUAAAUCGCAGUAUACUGUAUUUAUCGGGGCCCCGGAGGGGAGGUCGCGAGAGCCGCGUCUGUGUAUAAAAGCAGGAAAUAGCCAAAGCUUUAAUCUAGCCUAAUUUAUUUUUCCCCUUAUAUUUCCCUACCCUACCCUCCCCCCAAAAAAAAGCAAAAAAAAAAAAAAAAAACUAACAAAAAAAAUUCGAGUGUUCAUUUUUCGUUUCGUUUCAUCCGAGCCCCGGCUUGGUUCCCGGCCACGCCGGAGGGGUCUGCGCUCCCACACACCCAGACGGGAAGGGGCUUCUGCCCUGCUGCAGACCGACCGCCGCAUAGCGCGGCCCCUGCUCCCCGCGGGGCCCUGCCCUCCUGGCCACACCAAACGAAACUUGGAAAAGUUAGAGAGAUUGUUUUUUAACCAGCUGUAGAAAUAAGCCGUUCCCUGAGAACCCUCCGCCUGAUUCCCUGCAGCUUCCCUCUGCUCCCUUUCCAGCCCGCCGGGAUGCGGGAUGCCAGGGGAGGCCGGGAGAGAAAUUCCCCAAGUUUGGGGUGAGGUGGGAACCAUGUAAAUAUGUGAGAUAUGUACACACUGGCGGGGAGAAGAAACAUUUUGUGCUUGGUUUUUAUUUUUGGUUUUCCGGGUUACCCUUCCUUCCUACCCUAAAGGAUUUUGUACACUGACUAAUCCGAAAAAGAUAUUUUAAUAUGAUUUCCGAAUUUCUGACCCAUCUCUAUUUAUUUUCUGGAUGUGUUUGGAGCUUCCCCCUUCUCCGUUUCUUCUUCUGUUUGUUAAGGUUUGAAUUUAAAUUUUGUUAUUUUAUUUUUAUUAUUUUUUGAAACAAUGUUUCGGUGCAUUCUCUUUGUAUCUUUAUUGAAAAAAAAAUAAUGUAGACUGGGAAGUUCCCUUUAUAUUUAUGUUAUAGUAAAUAUUUUAUU